This 70-nucleotide transfer RNA is filed under the name Acanthocystis turfacea Chlorella virus MN0810.1. RNAcentral's name for it is "tRNA-Ser". It matches the Rfam family "tRNA". From Rfam's summary of the family: Transfer RNA (tRNA) molecules are approximately 80 nucleotides in length. Their secondary structure includes four short double-helical elements and three loops (D, anti-codon, and T loops). Further hydrogen bonds mediate the characteristic L-shaped molecular structure. tRNAs have two regions of fundamental functional importance: the anti-codon, which is responsible for specific mRNA codon recognition, and the 3' end, to which the tRNAs corresponding amino acid is attached (by aminoacyl-tRNA synthetases). tRNAs cope with the degeneracy of the genetic code in two manners: having more than one tRNA (with a specific anti-codon) for a particular amino acid; and 'wobble' base-pairing, i.e. permitting non-standard base-pairing at the 3rd anti-codon position. Lineage: Varidnaviria; Bamfordvirae; Nucleocytoviricota; Megaviricetes; Algavirales; Phycodnaviridae. The record is from RNAcentral.
GCUCCUUCGCUCACAGGUAGAGCGCUGGUCUACUAGGCCAACGUGGGCGGUUCAAAUCCGUCAGGGAGCA